AGCUCCAAUAGCGUAUAUUAAAGUUGUUGUGGUUAAAAAGCUCGUAGUUGGAUGUCGGCGGGGAGUGGUUGGUUUGAAUUGCUUCACUACUGACUUUUUUCCCCGUGUUUUUUGCCAGAAUCUUGCGGGGGAUCUUUACCGAUUUUCUGUUGGAACUGGCAGGUUUACUUUGAAAAAAUUAGAGUGCUCAAAGCAAGCUUACUGCUUUGAAUAGUUUGCGCAUGGAAUAAUAGAAUAGGAAGUCGUUUCUAUUUUGUUGGUUUUCGGAAAUCGACUUAAUGAUUAAUAGGGACAGUCGGGGGCAUUCAUAUUCAAACGACAGAGGUGAAAUUCUUGGACCGUUUGAAGAUGAACUAAGGCGAAAGCAUUUGCCAAGAAUGUUUUCA
RNAcentral lists this ribosomal RNA (386 nucleotides) under marine copepod environmental sample. RNAcentral's name for it is "partial small subunit ribosomal RNA". It matches the Rfam family "Eukaryotic small subunit ribosomal RNA", at positions 587 to 972 of the family's 1831-position model. Lineage: Eukaryota; Metazoa; Arthropoda; Copepoda. The record is from RNAcentral.